Molecule: ribosomal RNA, 436 nt
Filed under: Dietzia sp. oral taxon 368
Lineage: Bacteria; Bacillati; Actinomycetota; Actinomycetes; Mycobacteriales; Dietziaceae
Description: bacterial SSU rRNA
Rfam family: Bacterial small subunit ribosomal RNA
Source: RNAcentral
GACGAACGCUGGCGGCGUGCUUAACACAUGCAAGUCGAACGGUAAGGCCCCUUCGGGGGUACACGAGUGGCGAACGGGUGAGUAACACGUGGGUAAUCUGCCCUGCACUUCGGGAUAAGCCUGGGAAACCGGGUCUAAUACCGGAUAUGAACUCCUGCCGCAUGGUGGGGGUUGGAAAGUUUUUCGGUGCAGGAUGAGCCCGCGGCCUAUCAGCUUGUUGGUGGGGUAAUGGCCUACCAAGGCGACGACGGGUAGCCGGCCUGAGAGGGUGAUCGGCCACACUGGGACUGAGACACGGCCCAGACUCCUACGGGAGGCAGCAGUGGGGAAUAUUGCACAAUGGGCGAAAGCCUGAUGCAGCGACGCCGCGUGGGGGAUGACGGUCUUCGGAUUGUAAACCCCUUUCAGUAGGGACGAAGCGCAAGUGACGUACCUG